Molecule: ribosomal RNA, 372 nt
Filed under: Rhizophagus sp. (in: glomeromycetes)
Lineage: Eukaryota; Fungi; Glomeromycota; Glomeromycetes; Glomerales; Glomeraceae
Description: LSU rRNA
Source: RNAcentral
UUGAAAGGGAAACGAUUGAAGUCAGUCGUACCUGCGGGUAAUCAGCCUUUAGGAUGCGAUUUUGUGGAGCGUGAGGGGUUGAACGCCUUCAUGCCUGCAUAUUCGUGUACUUUGGGUGUACUUGCCUGUGUGGUUAGUUAACAUCAAUUUUGGUUAUCAUAAAAUGGUUGGAGGAAUGUAGCUUCGAUUUCGAUUGAAGUGUUAUAGCCUUCGGCAGAUGUGAUGAUCGGGAUUGAGGAUUGCAACGGAUACCUUUCGGGGCUACCUGUCUGAUCUCUGAUCGUUGCUCUGGUGUCGAAAGCGUGCUUACGGUUAUCAGAGUCGAUGGUCAAUAGGUUAGAACGGGUUAAAUUCGUUAAGGAUGUUGACGUA